This 896-nucleotide long non-coding RNA is filed under the name Lactuca sativa (garden lettuce). Its description in RNAcentral is "long non-coding RNA (LSAT_LNC007063)". Lineage: Eukaryota; Viridiplantae; Streptophyta; Magnoliopsida; Asterales; Asteraceae. The record is from RNAcentral.
GAAUACACACAACAAUAUGAAUCUUAAGAACAUUCAUUUUUUUUGUAGUGAUGAAUACACAAGAAUAUGAAUCUCAAGAACAGUUUUUCUUGAUUUUAAGAACAAGAACAUCACAUUCACAAACCCAUAAAUCAUUCAUGAACCUAGAAAUCACAUUCACGAACCCAAAAAUCGUUUUUUCCUGAUUUUUCAGAAACCAUUCACGAACCCAAAAAUCAUUUUUUUCGGAUUUGAUGAACUGCCCUUCACCACCACCUAAAUAGAUUUUUGCUAUGAAACCUUAACCUAAUAUUGAUCUGAAUCGAUUUCUUAUUUGAAUUGAUUUCAAGCCCGAGGUGGUCAGAUGAAUGUUCACACACACCUGCAGAUCCGACAUUGUAACAGAUAAGAAACACACAAAUGCUAGCUGACAAAAGCAUAGAGGUAAUGCAUUGAUUUUGAACUGAAAUUGGAACUGGAAUCUGGAGGUCGUUUUCUCAAAGAAGAGGGAAAAGCUGAAGAACGGUUUUAAUCCAUCGAUUUUAAUUAUUUAAACUGAUUUCCAACUAACCUUGAUGAAGAAGACGAAAAGCUUCUCACCAUUUCGUUCAAGGCAUCUUGGUGGGUUGUGGGUGUUUAUGGUUACUGGAAUAAGACAGUAGUGUAUAGUACAGGUGACUGGGAACUAGCGGGGUUACACAAUGCAAUUUAUUGACCGAACCGAAGAAGGAAAAGGGAACAUAAGUAAAUGCGAACGGAACUAUAUGUUGUGACGAGCGGAAGCAGCGAGGCUGCUGGUGGUCUCGGUGGGUGCAGCACGGGGCUGAUCAAGCAUCUUCUCGACUACUUGCUUCUGCUCCGACGAUGGAUCAAGAAGGGAAAGGGGAAUGUUGGUCUGAGAGGAUCAAGGAAGCAAC